CGGCGUGAGGGGGGUGUGUUGGAAGUCCCACAUCGACUAGAGAUAAGACCAAUUUAUAAUAUAUAAGUGGGGUGCAGACCUCACCUUACAAGCCGGUUUUGUGGGGUUGAGUUAGGCCUAAAACCCACUUCUAACAACCAAUCUUCCUUAACUUCAAUGAUUUGAUUGUCACGAUAUUGUUGACAUCUACAACUAGAAAAAUACUGCAAGAAAGAAAAAUAAUAUAAAUUUAGU
RNAcentral lists this long non-coding RNA (234 nucleotides) under Vigna radiata. RNAcentral's name for it is "long non-coding RNA (VRAD_LNC016904)". The record is from RNAcentral. Lineage: Eukaryota; Viridiplantae; Streptophyta; Magnoliopsida; Fabales; Fabaceae.